AGAGGGGAGGGCCGGACCCAGGAACCUGGUGCCAGUGGAGACGGCUGCCCUCAGUCCUGCCCACUCCUUCCCUGGGCCCACGUGACCAUACUUCCCUGUGAGCUGGAAGACACCCCGUCAGUCCCACGGGGUGCGGUUUACCAAGAAGGGGUGGGCACCCCUGCGUGGCAGGCACCGGCCUGUCCCUGCGGCCAUAUCCAGCUCCCGAAGAUUGGAAAGGAUGAAAACAAGGAUGGCCUGACCCACCUGCUUUAAGGAAUUGGAAACUCUGUACAAAUCCCCAGGGAUACUUGUUAAUUAUAAAGGGAACGAAUGGUUAAGUGUACAGUGGAGAAAUUGGACAUCCCAGCCCUCCAAGAAUGAGAAGGACAGCAUUCUUUCUGCGAGAUUCCUGCCAAAAAUGCAUAACCCAAAUCUAAUCAUGAAGAAACAUCAGACAAAACCCGAUGGAGGGACAUUCUACAAAAUCACUGGCCAGUACUCAAAAAAAAAAAAAGAUAAAGCGAGACUGGGACUCUUUCAGACUAAAGUAGACAAUUAAAUGGGUAAAUCUAAAUGAGAUCUGUCAAUGAGAUCAGUCUAGGUGAGAUUGGUAGGUUUGGUGAUCGUA
Macaca mulatta (Rhesus monkey) is the source of this 610-nucleotide non-coding RNA. The record is from RefSeq and is a predicted model, not a curated record. NCBI's taxonomy places the organism in Eukaryota, Metazoa, Chordata, Mammalia, Primates, Cercopithecidae.